UUAGAUUUUUUUAAUUAAGGGUUGGGCCUGCCCGGUGAUUUUUAACGGCCGCAGUUAAGAGCUGUGCUAAGGUAGCGUAAUAAGUUGUCCUUUAAAUGGGGAAAGGAAUGAAUGGUUUGACGUGGGAAAUUCUGUCUCUCUGAGAAUGAGUGAAAUUUUCUUUUCAGUGAAAAGCCUGAAAUUAUAUUAAAAGACGAGAAGACCCUGUCGAGCUUAAAUAAGUGUUAAAGAUUUUUAACACAAAAAUUUGGUUGGGGCAACCUAGGAGCAAAAAAAGACUCCUUUAAGUAUAUAAGGAUCCAAAAGUUUUGAAAAAAGAAAAAGCUACCGCAGGGAUAACAGCGUUAUCCUCCCUAAGAGAACAAAUUGAAGGGAGGGUUUGCGACCUCGAUGUUGAAUUAAAAUUUCCGCUAGGCGUAGAAGCUUAAAUGGUAAGACUGUUCGUCUUUUAAAAU
RNAcentral lists this ribosomal RNA (455 nucleotides) under Kellia laperousii. Its description in RNAcentral is "partial 16S ribosomal RNA". It matches the Rfam family "Bacterial large subunit ribosomal RNA", at positions 1832 to 2594 of the family's 2925-position model. The record is from RNAcentral. Lineage: Eukaryota; Metazoa; Mollusca; Bivalvia; Galeommatida; Lasaeidae.